UACGAAGGGGGCUAGCGUUGUUCGGAAUCACUGGGCGUAAAGCGCACGUAGGCGGAUUCUUAAGUCGGGGGUGAAAUCCUGAGGCUCAACCUCAGAACUGCCUUCGAUACUGGGGAUCUUGAGUUCGGAAGAGGUUGGUGGAACAGCUAGUGUAGAGGUGAAAUUCGUAGAUAUUAGCUAGAACACCAGUGGCGAAGGCGGCCAACUGGUCCGACACUGACGCUGAGGUGCGAAAGCGUGGGGAGCAAACAGGG
Molecule: ribosomal RNA, 254 nt
Filed under: uncultured bacterium
Lineage: Bacteria
Description: partial 16S ribosomal RNA
Rfam family: Bacterial small subunit ribosomal RNA
Source: RNAcentral